AUCCAGCUGAUGAGUCUCAAACAGGAGGAAAAGCGCGUCCUGGAU
Molecule: non-coding RNA, 45 nt
Organism: Schistosoma curassoni
Lineage: Eukaryota; Metazoa; Platyhelminthes; Trematoda; Strigeidida; Schistosomatidae
Source: Rfam